GAUGAACGCUGGUGGCGUGCCUAACACAUGCAAGUCGAGCGAUUCUCUUCGGAGAAGAGCGGCGGACGGGUGAGUAACGCGUGGGUAACCUGCCCUGUACACACGGAUAACAUACCGAAAGGUAUGCUAAUACGAGAUAACAUGCUUUUAUCGCAUGGUAGAAGUAUCAAAGCUUUUGCGGUACAGGAUGGACCCGCGUCUGAUUAGCUAGUUGGUGAGGUAACGGCUCACCAAGGCGACGAUCAGUAGCCGACCUGAGAGGGUGAUCGGCCACAUUGGAACUGAGACACGGUCCAAACUCCUACGGGAAGCAGCAGUGGGGAAUAUUGCACAAUGGGCGAAAGCCUGAUGCAGCAACGCCGCGUGAGCGAUGAAGGCCUUCGGGUCGUAAAGCUCUGUCCUCAAGGAAGAUAAUGACGGUACUUGAGGAGGAAGCCCCGGCUAACUACGUG
RNAcentral lists this ribosomal RNA (452 nucleotides) under uncultured bacterium. RNAcentral describes it as "partial 16S ribosomal RNA". It matches the Rfam family "Bacterial small subunit ribosomal RNA", at positions 28 to 507 of the family's 1533-position model. The record is from RNAcentral.